UACGUAGGUGACAAGCGUUGUUCGGAUUUACUGGGCGUAAAGAGCGCGCAGGCGGUCGAUCAAGUCGAGUGUGAAAGCCCCCGGCUCAACUGGGGAGGGUCAUUCGAUACUGAUCGACUCGAAGGCAGGAGAGGGUAGUGGAAUUCCCGGUGUAGUGGUGAAAUGCGUAGAUAUCUGGAGGAAUACCGGUGGCGAAGGCGGCAUCCUGGACCGGCAUUGACGCUGAUGAGCGAAAGCUAGGGGAGCAAACGGG
This 253-nucleotide ribosomal RNA is filed under the name uncultured bacterium. RNAcentral's name for it is "partial 16S ribosomal RNA". It matches the Rfam family "Bacterial small subunit ribosomal RNA", at positions 524 to 776 of the family's 1533-position model. The record is from RNAcentral.